CUUAAGAUGAGAUAUCCCAUUCGUUAAGAAGUAAACCCCCUUGAAGACGACGAGGUAGAUAGGGCAGAGGUGGAAGUGUGGCAACACAUGGAGCUGACUGUUACUAAUCGGGUGAGGGCUUGACCAAG
This 128-nucleotide ribosomal RNA is filed under the name Blautia wexlerae. RNAcentral describes it as "partial 23S ribosomal RNA". It matches the Rfam family "Bacterial large subunit ribosomal RNA", at positions 2798 to 2925 of the family's 2925-position model. Lineage: Bacteria; Bacillati; Bacillota; Clostridia; Lachnospirales; Lachnospiraceae. The record is from RNAcentral.